UUAUAAAUCAUCCUUGCACUAC
This 22-nucleotide microRNA is filed under the name Nematostella vectensis (starlet sea anemone). Its description in RNAcentral is "nve-miR-2042-5p". Lineage: Eukaryota; Metazoa; Cnidaria; Anthozoa; Actiniaria; Edwardsiidae. The record is from miRBase by way of RNAcentral.